UCCUACGGGGGGCAGCAGUAGGGAAUCUUGCACAAUGGGCGAAAGCCUGAUGCAGCGACGCCGCGUGGGGGAUGAAGGCCUUCGGGUUGUAAACCUCUUUUAUUAGGGAAGAAUUAUGACGGUACCUAAUGAAUAAGCAUCGGCUAACUCCGUGCCAGCAGCCGCGGUAAUACGGGGGAUGCAAGCGUUAUCCGGAAUUAUUGGGCGUAAAGAGUCUGUAGGUUGUUUAAUAAGUCUGCUGUUAAAUUUUAGAGCUCAACUCUAAGCCAGCAGUAGAAACUAUCAAACUAGAGUAUGGUAGGGGCAAAGGGAAUUCCCAGUGUAGCGGUGAAAUGCGUAGAUAUUGGGAAGAACACCAGAAGCGAAGGCGCUUUGCUGGGCCAUUACUGACACUCAGAGACGAAAGCUAGGGGAGCAAAUGGGAUUAGAUACCCCAGUAGUCCUAGCUGUAAACGAUGGAUACUAGAUGUUGCGCGUAUCGAUCCGUGCAGUAUCGUAGCUAGCGCGUUAAGUAUCCCGCCUGGGAAGUAUGCUCGCAAGAGUGAAACUCAAAGGAAUUGACGG
Molecule: ribosomal RNA, 564 nt
Filed under: uncultured cyanobacterium
Lineage: Bacteria; Bacillati; Cyanobacteriota
Description: bacterial SSU rRNA
Rfam family: Bacterial small subunit ribosomal RNA
Source: RNAcentral